This 253-nucleotide long non-coding RNA is filed under the name Phaseolus vulgaris (common bean). RNAcentral's name for it is "long non-coding RNA (PVUL_LNC002263)". Lineage: Eukaryota; Viridiplantae; Streptophyta; Magnoliopsida; Fabales; Fabaceae. The record is from RNAcentral.
AGAAAGAAGCGAAAAAGUGCUAUGAGAAUAGCCUGAAAAACAAGAGGUCGGUGAGUUAUGUGACAACCACCCCACCUCCCGGUGUGAAGCCCAGAUCGACGGUAACAGAGGAGGCCGCCGAAAGAGAUGUGGAGAUGGUGGACGCUGAGCUGGGCGAGAGGAAUGCUGGUCUGGAGGAGGAAGAGGCGCGGAAUCGCCCUGAGGAAGCGAGGGAGCAGGGAAUCGCCAGGGCGGUGAUCGCCAGAGAAUCCAG